GAUACCAGGAAGUAGGGUUGGAGGGAAGCAGAGGGGAGCAAAGACAAUGAGAACAGUGAGCAGGUAAGAGUGGGCGAAGGGUUCCCACCCAAGUGGGUGAAGAGGGUGCUGAGCGGGGCAAUGGUGAAAUAGACCUGCUGAGCGGGGCAAUGGUGAAACAAUGCCAUCACAGCUUUGUGUCUUUCUUCCUUUUGUACUUCUUACAGCACUAUCAUGGUGGUCUGCAUGUCACAUGGGGAGUCCACUAUAACUGUACAGACUGGGUGACCAAUAAUAAGAUUUGAAAGAAGGAUUUCCUUACACAGGACAAUUUCUCACCUGGCAUGAUUUGACCUUGAGUCUGCAAACCAUACCCCCCAUUUCUUUCUUGGUGGCCAGAGGUCCUGAGGGGUAGAAAUUCCCACCUGAGAAGCCUGCCUGCUUGCAUCCUGUUCUCCCUCUAUCCUGGACAUGUCAGAUGCGUGUCAGAAAGCCAUCCCUGCGUGAAAUCUUCUGAAACAAAGGGGUCAAUGAAUCCAGCAGGGGAAAGCUUGCCUGAGGAAAAUGUUCACAUUCUCUGAGCAUGCUGAGUUAGCAAGUCCGUUUAGCCAAUUCCGAACGUCUAUUGAGCACUUUUUGUAUACCAGAGCUCCACUGAGUGUGAGACUGGAUACCAGCAAUGGAUAGAAGACAGAGAGAAAGCCAGGUGGACUCUGAUUCCUGACACAGGGAAGUGAAGAAGACCACCGCUGUGGUUGGCCAGUUUUCCAGUUUGGGGAAUUCCUUGAAAUGUACCAGUAGGACCAUGCCUCCCUGGUAGCAUCCCAAGAUGAUGGAAAAGCCCUAUUUUCUCCCUUCCUUAGCCUCACCUUCAAAUCUGUGGGCUCUGCUGUGCCCACUUAUUCAAUUUCAGCGCCACAUGAAGGUCCCCACUACCGGGCAGGGGCCAGACUUCUACCUGCUCUGUUCCCCAAGCUGUACACUCUGGUGAAGGGCCGUGUCCACCCAUAGGGGGUGCUUUCUCUCGUUCUUGCAGAGGCACCCCACACGUUUGUGGCUGUGAAUUUGGUGCACUGAAGUUCCUUGCUAGACCAGCCUAGCACUGGACUAAAGACACUGGACAAGGAUAUAAAGAAGCAAAUGACAUCCUCCUUGUGUUACCUGAUGCAGGAAACCCUAAGUGGAGACCCAAAGACAUUCCUGGACUUUUUCAAAAGCCAUGUCAAGAACACCUGUGCACACCCCACCCCCCACUUUCAUCUUUCUGACUUCUAGCUCUAUUCUUUCUUUGGGGGAAACUAAUAAAUGCCAGAGUGUUUAAUAUCUUAUGAUAAAAAUUGGAGCUAUCAGUUACCAAGUGUU
This is a long non-coding RNA of Acinonyx jubatus (cheetah), 1341 nucleotides long. RefSeq lists it as uncharacterized. The record is from RefSeq and is a predicted model, not a curated record. NCBI's taxonomy places the organism in Eukaryota, Metazoa, Chordata, Mammalia, Carnivora, Felidae. The transcript is spliced from 3 exons.